GUUUAGCCUGUCUGUAAGGUUUUGAGGAGUUGUUGAUUUGUAUUCACUGUUAUUUGUCAGUGUUCGACUUGUUUUCAGCUGUCUGUCCCUCGUAAACAAGCCUCAACUGCCCCAGUGCUCAUUAUCUACUUUCAAUGAAGCUCAAAAUAUCAGCUACACACAUGGAGCAGAUGAGCAAAGACUGAGCUAACAGCUUCCAGCCUUCCAGCUUCUCUCGCCAGACCUCAUAGUCCAACAGAUCAAAAAGUUUUCAAGGGAAAGAAAGGGGAAAAUUGAUGUUUAAUGCUAUGGCAAAGCAGCAAGCCCUGUAUAAUGAUAGCAACAAGAAAAAAGAACAUCAUGCUUGAAACAAGACCUGAACCCAGAACAGCCAGUCCUCAAUGCAUUGCAAAAUGGUGUUAACACUAUUUUGCUACCAGACUGCCAUUAAGAUUACAGAAAGGGCAAAUUGUAAAAUUUUUUAUUCUGAAUUCUAAGAAAUAAUGACAGAUGAAUCUCAAUGUAAACUUGUUUAAUGAAAUGUUUGCUUCACCAAGCACUUCUUCCAUACCACAGCCUUCUAUUAUUACUAGAGUUUUCUCAGAAUGUGCAAAACAUUCAAAAUAUUCAUAUACACACAGUGUCUCCCAUCAUGGACAAAGGGUUUAAACCACAAAGGAGAGCUCAAGCUGUGCAUGGUGGCAGUACUAUAGCUAAUGAAGUUUAAUACCGGCAUGGUUUGCUUCCUACUUGUUAUCAAAGGUCAGUUUAACAUGUACAAAGAUAAAGCAUUAGCAAUUAAUUUCAUUGUAUUAAUGAUUAAGAUCACAAAAUGUACAUUUCAAUAAAAAUGGACAAUAAAAACCCCAAUAGUUUGGUUUUUUUGGGGUGUGUGUCUGAAAACCCCCAGCAUUUUAACCAGGGAUGGAUCUGCAUUUUUGGUGGGGAAACUAAUAAAAAUAAGCUUGAUUGUCCACUAAAUGUGUCUAAUAUUCAACUAUGGACACUAUAUGGCAACAUUCAUUUUAUUUAUUUCUAGACAAUUCUGUUCUGAAUUUUUUUUUUAAAGGGGGUAAGGUGAUUUUUCUUUAGCAUUUCUUUUUCAAGAUUCUGAUCCCAAUCUCCUGGGCUGGUUUAUACAUGAGGUUUUAAGUCAACUUAAAGUGAAGCCCAACUUUUCUGGUGUAAAUUCCAAUAAUUACUUGUGAAAAUGAGUCUUAAAAGCAAGUCUGAAUAUUCAGACCAAACUUAGCAACUUUAG
Pomacea canaliculata is the source of this 1240-nucleotide long non-coding RNA. RefSeq lists it as uncharacterized. Lineage: Eukaryota; Metazoa; Mollusca; Gastropoda; Architaenioglossa; Ampullariidae. The transcript has 3 exons. The record is from RefSeq and is a predicted model, not a curated record.